GAGUUUGAUCUUAGCUCAGGACAAACGCUGGCGGGGUGCAUGAGACAUGCAAGUCGAACGGGGUUGAGCGGGCUUGCUCGAUCAACCUAGUGGCGGGACGGCUGAGUAACGCGUAGGUGACCUGCCCGGAAGUGGGGAAUAACUGCCCGAAAGGGUGGCUAAUACCGCAUGUGGUCGGCGAUUCGGUUCGCCGUGCAAAGCCGCAAGGCGCUUCCGGAGGGCCUGCGUCCGAUUAGCUAGUUGGUGGGGUAACGGCUCACCAAGGCGACGAUCGGUAGCUGGUCUGAGAGGAUGAUCAGCCAGACUGGGACUGAGAACGGCCCAGACUCCUACGGGAGGCAGCAGUCGGGAAUUUUGCCCAAUGGACGAAAGUCUGAGGCAGCAACUCCGCGUGAGGGACGAAGGCCUUCGGGUCGUAAACCGUCUUUCUCUAGGAAGAUACAAGACGGUACCUGAGGAAUUAAGCCACGGCUAACUACGUGCCAGCAGCCGCCGCCGUAACACUACUGCCAAGGCAC
This 518-nucleotide ribosomal RNA is filed under the name uncultured bacterium. RNAcentral describes it as "bacterial SSU rRNA". It matches the Rfam family "Bacterial small subunit ribosomal RNA", at positions 9 to 539 of the family's 1533-position model. The record is from RNAcentral.